GAUGAAGAACGUAGCGAAAUGCGAUACGUACUGUGAAUUGCAGAAUUCAGUGAAUCAUCGAAUCUUUGAACGCAUAUUGCGCUCUUUGGUAUUCCGAAGAGCAUGCUUGUUUGAGUAUCAGUAAACACCUCAAAGCUUUUGGAUUUUUUAAUCGAAAAGCUUUGGACUUGAGCAAUCCCAACACCAAUCUUUUUGAGAUCGGUGGCGGGUUGCUUGAAAUGCAGGUGCAGCUGGACAUUCUCCUGAGCUAAAAGCAUAUUCAUUUAGUCCCGUCAAACGGAUUAUUACUUUUGCUGCAGCUAACAUAAAGGGAGUUUGACCGUAUUGGCUGACUGAUGCAGGAUUUCACAAGGGUCGGCAACGAUUCUUGUUAAACUCGAUCUCAAAUCAAGUAAGACUACCCGCUGAACUUAAGCAUAUCAAUAAGCGGAGGA
This 434-nucleotide unclassified non-coding RNA is filed under the name soil metagenome. RNAcentral describes it as "partial contains 5.8S ribosomal RNA, internal transcribed spacer 2, and large subunit ribosomal RNA". The stretch from base 1 to 120 matches the Rfam family "5.8S ribosomal RNA", at positions 35 to 154 of the family's 154-position model. The record is from RNAcentral.